CCGAAGCAAAGCGAUGAUGUCAUGGAAUGGAUUCACAAAUACACAAUGCAGUUGUGAUUGACUUUGAGUCCUAUCUGAAUAUGAGACUAUUGUCUGUGCUGACGAUUGAUGAUAACACUUCUUCGACAAAAGCUUUGGAGCGUCCACUGUGUCUGGAUACAAGAGACUGUACAGGAUGCUCAGAAGAAGAAGAGGGGGAGUAGGUAGGCACUGCCUGCCUGGCACCUGCCCUCCAUAACCAGCUUAAAGGGCACAUACUGUACACAGCCACAGGCAGGACACAGCCACACUAGUACAGCCACAGGCAGGACACAGCCACAUACUAGUAUAGCCACAGGCAGGAUAUAGCCACAUACUAGUACAGCCACAGGCAGGACACAGCCACAUACUAGUACAGCCACAGGCAGGACACAGCCAUAUGCUAUGUACAGCCACAGGCAGCACACAGCCACAUACUAGCACAGCCACAGGCAGGACAUAGCAGCCAC
Oncorhynchus tshawytscha (Chinook salmon) is the source of this 488-nucleotide long non-coding RNA. The record is from Ensembl. NCBI's taxonomy places the organism in Eukaryota, Metazoa, Chordata, Actinopteri, Salmoniformes, Salmonidae.